UGUCUAUGAAGAUGAAGACUACUCGUAUCUAGAUAGAAAGCCCUAUGAAACUUUACUGUUCCCUAGGAUUGGUUUUGGGCUUUUCCUGCGUAGUUUAGGUGGAAGGCGAAGAAGGCCUCCUUCCGGGGGGCCCGAGCCAUCAGUGAGAUACUACUCUGGAAGAGCUAGAAUUCUAACCUUGUAUCAGGACCUACGGGCCAAAUGACAAUCUCAGGUAGAUAGUUUCUAUGGGGCGUAGGACUUCCAAAAGGUAACGGAGGCAUGCAAAGGUUUCCUUGGGCCAGACGAAGAUUGGUCCUUAAGUGCAAAGGCAGAAGAAAGCUUGACUGCAAGACCCACCUAUUGAACAGGGACGAAAGUCAGCCUUAGUGAUCUGAUGGUGCUGAGUGGAAGGGCCAUCGCUCAAUAGAUAAAACUUACUCUAGGGAUAACAGGCUGAUCUUCCCCAAGAGCUCACAUCGACAGGAAGGUUUGGCACCUUCUUGUUGGCUCUUUGCCACUUAGGGCUGUAGUAUGUUCCAAGAGUUAGGUUGUUCACCCAUUAAAGUGGUACAUGAGCUGGGUUCACAACGUCGUGAGAUGGGUCGGUCCAUAUCCAAUAUGGGCAUUAGAGCGUUGAGAGGACUUUCCUUAGUACGAGAGGACCGGGAAGGACUGGGGUACCAGUUAUCGUGCCCACGGUAAACGCUAGGUAGCCAAGUGUAGAGCGGAUAACUGCUGAAAGCAUCUAAGUUGUAAGCCCACCCCAAUAUGAGUGCUCUUGUAUUCUGACUUCCCUAGAGCAUCCAGUUACACAGCCGAGACGGUAAGGGGUUCUUUAUCCCUACGGGGAUCGAGUGACAGAAGUUUUGAGAAUUUAAAAGAAGGUCACUGUGAGACGAGCCAUUUAUCAUUACGAUAGGUGUCAAGUAGAAGUGCAGUGAUGUAUGCAGCUGAGGCAUCCUAACAGACCGA
This 954-nucleotide non-coding RNA is filed under the name Gossypium hirsutum (cotton). Its description in RNAcentral is "Bacterial large subunit ribosomal RNA". It matches the Rfam family "Bacterial large subunit ribosomal RNA", at positions 2048 to 2912 of the family's 2925-position model. The record is from Rfam by way of RNAcentral. Lineage: Eukaryota; Viridiplantae; Streptophyta; Magnoliopsida; Malvales; Malvaceae.